RNAcentral lists this ribosomal RNA (396 nucleotides) under Trachemys venusta. RNAcentral describes it as "partial 12S ribosomal RNA". It matches the Rfam family "Bacterial small subunit ribosomal RNA", at positions 794 to 1384 of the family's 1533-position model. The record is from RNAcentral. Lineage: Eukaryota; Metazoa; Chordata; Testudines; Emydidae.
GCUUAGCCCUAAACCUAGAUAUUUAUAUACAAAAAUAUCCGCCAGAGAAUUACGAGCAAAAACGCUUAAAACUCUAAGGACUUGGCGGUGCCUCAAACCCACCUAGAGGAGCCUGUUCUAUAAUCGAUAACCCACGAUCCACCUCACCAUCUCUUGCCAACCAGUCUAUAUACCACCGUCGCCAGCCUACCCUAUGAAGGGUAUAAAAGUAGGCAAGACAAUAUAAACCAUUAACAAGUCAGGUCAAGGUGUAGCCAAUUGAGAUGGAAGAAAUGGGCUACAUUUUCUAUACUAGAAAUAACACUCACGGAAAGGAACCAUGAAACAGUCCCGCAAGUAGGAUUUAGCAGUAAACUGGGAACAGAGAGCCCAAUUUAAACCGGUCCUGAGGUGCGC